AUUGAACGCUGGCGGAAUGCUUUACACAUGCAAGUCGAACGGCAGCACGGACUUCGGUCUGGUGGCGAGUGGCGAACGGGUGAGUAAUGUAUCGGAACGUGCCCAGUCGUGGGGGAUAACGUAGUGAAAAUUACGCUAAUACCGCAUACGAUCUAUGGAUGAAAGCGGGGGAUCGCAAGACCUCGCGCGAUUGGAGCGGCCGAUAUCAAAUUAGGUAGCUGGUGGGGUAAAGGCCCACCAAGCCAACGAUCUGUAGCUGGUCUGAGAGGACGACAAGACACACUGGAACGGAGACACGGUCCAGACUCCUACGGGAGGCAGCAGUGGGGAAUUUUGGACAAUGGGCGAAAGCCUGAUCCAGCCAUUCCGCGUGCAGGAUGAAGGCCCUCGGGUUGUAAACUGCUUUUGUACAGAACGAAAAGGUUUCUACUAAUACUAGGAGCUCAUGACGGUACUGUAAGAAUAAGCACCGGCUAACUACGUGCCAGCAGCCGCCGUAA
RNAcentral lists this ribosomal RNA (500 nucleotides) under uncultured bacterium. RNAcentral's name for it is "partial 16S ribosomal RNA". It matches the Rfam family "Bacterial small subunit ribosomal RNA", at positions 30 to 523 of the family's 1533-position model. The record is from RNAcentral.